RNAcentral lists this ribosomal RNA (301 nucleotides) under uncultured bacterium. Its description in RNAcentral is "partial 16S ribosomal RNA". It matches the Rfam family "Bacterial small subunit ribosomal RNA", at positions 509 to 807 of the family's 1533-position model. The record is from RNAcentral.
CAGUCGCCGCGGUAAUACGUAGGUGGCAAGCGUUGUCCGGAAUUAUUGGGCGUAAAGGGCUCGCAGGCGGUUUCUCAAGUCUGAUGUGAAAGCCCCCGGCUCAACCGGGGAGGGUCAUUGGAAACUGGGAAACUUGAGUGCAGAAGAGGAGAGUGGAAUUCCACGUGUAGCGGUGAAAUGCGUAGAGACGUGGAGGAACACCAGUGGCGAAGGCGACUCUCUGGUCUGUAACUGACGCUGAGGAGCGAAUGCGUGGGGAGCGAACAGGAUUAGAUACCCCCGUAGUCCCUGUCUCUUAUAC